Molecule: ribosomal RNA, 312 nt
Filed under: uncultured eukaryote
Lineage: Eukaryota
Description: partial 18S ribosomal RNA
Rfam family: Eukaryotic small subunit ribosomal RNA
Source: RNAcentral
UAACCUGCUAACUAGUGGGCCUAGCGAGAGCUGGGCAGUACUUCUUAGAGGGACUGACUACGUUUAGUAGUCGGAAGUUUGAGGCAAUAACAGGUCUGUGAUGCCCUUAGAUGUUCUGGGCUGCACGCGCGCUACACUGACACAGUCAGCGAGUAUCAGCUUGGCCGAGAGGUCUGGCAAAUCUUGUGAAACUGUGUCGUGCUGGGGAUAGAUCAUUGCAAUUAUUGGUCUUGAACGAGGAAUUCCUAGUAAGCGCAAGUCAUCAGCUUGCGUUGAUUACGUCCCUGCCCUUUGUGCACGCCGCCCGUCGCU